This 494-nucleotide ribosomal RNA is filed under the name Maladera miliouensis. RNAcentral's name for it is "partial 16S large subunit ribosomal RNA". It matches the Rfam family "Bacterial large subunit ribosomal RNA", at positions 1844 to 2600 of the family's 2925-position model. The record is from RNAcentral. Lineage: Eukaryota; Metazoa; Arthropoda; Insecta; Coleoptera; Scarabaeidae.
UUUAAAGUCUAAUCUGCCCUAUGAGAUAUUAAAUGGCCGCGGUACUUUGACCGUGCAAAGGUAGCAUAAUAAUUAGUUUUUUAAUUAAAAGCUGGAAUGAAUGAUUGGACGAGAAAAUAACUGUCUCAAUUUAAUUUUAUUAGAAUUUUAUUUUUAAGUAAGAAAGCUUAAAUGUUAUUAAAAGACGAGAAGACCCUAUAGAGUUUUAUAAUUAAUUAAUUAUUAAUUUUUUAGGAUUAUUUUAUUAGCAAUUGAUUAUUUAUUUUAUUGGGGUGAUAGAAAAAUAUAAUAAACUUUUUUUUUAUUUAAACAUUAAUUUAUGAUUUAUUGAUCCAUUUUUUAUGAUUAUAAGAUUAAGUUACCUUAGGGAUAACAGCGUAAUUUUUUUUAGAGUUCUUAUCGAAAAAAAAGGUUGCGACCUCGAUGUUGGAUUAAAAUUAAUAUUUGGUGUAGAGGCUAAAUUAUUAGGUCUGUUCGACCUUUGAAAUUUUACA